This 468-nucleotide ribosomal RNA is filed under the name uncultured bacterium. Its description in RNAcentral is "partial 16S ribosomal RNA". It matches the Rfam family "Bacterial small subunit ribosomal RNA", at positions 28 to 507 of the family's 1533-position model. The record is from RNAcentral.
GACGAACGCUGGCGGCGUGCUUAACACAUGCAAGUCGAACGGCAAGGCCCUGCUUUUGUGGGUUGCUCGAGUGGCGAACGGGUGAGUAACUCGUGAGUAUCCUGCUCUUGCCUUUGGGAUAACUUCAGGAAACUGGGGCUAAUACCUGAUAGGAGCUCCUGCUGCAUGGUGGGGGUUGGAAAGUUUCGGAGGUUGGGGAUGGACUGGCGGCUUAUCAGCUUGUUGGUGGGGUAGUGGCUUACCAAGGCUUUGACGGGUAGCUGGCCUGAGAGGGUGACCGGCCACAGUGGGACUGAGAUACGGCCCAGACUACUACGGGAGGCAGCAGUGGGGAAUAGUGCACAAUGGGCGGAAGCCUGAUGCAGCAACGCCGCGUGAGGGAUGACGGCCUUCGGGUUGUAAACCGCUUUCGCCGGUAACGAAGCGUGAGUGACGGUAAUGUGUAAAGAAGCACCGGCUAACUACGUG